RNAcentral lists this long non-coding RNA (387 nucleotides) under Phaseolus vulgaris (common bean). RNAcentral describes it as "long non-coding RNA (PVUL_LNC004846)". Lineage: Eukaryota; Viridiplantae; Streptophyta; Magnoliopsida; Fabales; Fabaceae. The record is from RNAcentral.
UUUUGUAGAAUGUAAAAUUAUUAGUAAGGAUAAAUGGAUAGGAGUUGAUUCGGUGUCAUAAUGAUACUAAUUAAGUUUAACUAUUAAUAGUUUUACUCAGUUUACUUAGAGUUGUGGGUUAGAUGACAGGUAUACAACAGGCUCAUUUAAACUAGUUGUGUAUUAUGAAAAAUUUGGAAAAGGAAACUAGUAUCACAACUCAUUUUGGUACGUCUUGUUCGCAAAUGGAGGCUCAUUACUCUCUCAUAUUUUUUAUAAACGAGUUGAGUUGUAUCAUCUUUCAAAUGUUUUAUUUAACUUUAUUAAUUCUUUGCUAAUACAAAAAAUAAACAUAGAUCAAUGAAGAUGCAAAAGUUCUUACUUGUUACAUCAGUUAUUAGUUCUUCC